Molecule: ribosomal RNA, 495 nt
Filed under: uncultured bacterium
Lineage: Bacteria
Description: bacterial SSU rRNA
Rfam family: Bacterial small subunit ribosomal RNA
Source: RNAcentral
UCAGGAUGAACGCUGGCGGCGUGCCUAACACAUGCAAGUCGAGCGGUAUAUACUGGAAUGAAACUUCGGUCGAAUGAAGGUAUAGAGAGCGGCGGACGGGUGAGUAACGCGUAGGCAACCUGCCCCAUACAGAGGAUAGCCUCGGGAAACCGGGAUUAAAACCUCAUAAUGCGAGAGAUUCUCAUGAGUUUUUCGCCAAAGAUUUAUCGGUAUGGGAUGGGCCUGCGUCUGAUUAGCUAGUUGGUGAGGUAACGGCUCACCAAGGCAACGAUCAGUAGCCGACCUGAGAGGGUAAUCGGCCACAUUGGAACUGAGACACGGUCCAAACUCCUACGGGAGGCAGCAGUGGGGAAUAUUGCACAAUGGGCGAAAGCCCUGAUGCAGCAACGCCGCGUGAGCGAAGAAGGCCUUUGGGUCGUAAAGCUCUGUCCUAGGGGAAGAAAAAAUGACGGUACCCUUGGAGGAAGCCCCGGCUAACUACGUGCCAGCCGCCGC